AUUACCUCAUUUGCUUCACAGCCUAAUGAAUGCUUUAUGGCUGAGAAAUGAUGGAGGAAGCGAGUGAGACUGAAGAGAUGAAGAAACUGAGGCACACAGAGAGAGACCCGGACAUGGCAUUCCCAGCAGUACUCAGAAAAGGAAGAAAGUACCGGAUUCCACACUGGGAUUGAUAUGUGUGGGACAAAGGUAGCUGGUUCAGAAAUUGGAGCUAAAAACCUUGAGAAGAGGCCCCUUGGAAGUGGCAGCAAUCUGGAGGAGAGCUUUGGGUUUCCAAAGGCCACAGAAUGGGUGGGAGAUGGCCACCCCACAGGACAUAAGGGCCCAGCACAGAGCUUGGACGUGUGAGCUGCUCCACCCAUAUUCGUUGGGUGAAAGGUGCCUAGGAGAUGGCGUGGCAGAGAAGGAAAAUGUGCUGGAGUGGAAGAAACCAGAGCGAGAGAAGCUAACUUGCCAGAGUCCAUUGCCUGGCCAAAGAGCAGAAAAAGGAAGACAAAUGCUUGGAAGGAAAGAGGGAAGGACAAAAAGCUGGACUGAGAAGUUCUACUUUCACUUUUUGUUGUUUUUGUUUCUUUAUUUAAGAAAAGCAACAAGGGGGCCAGGCACAGUGGCUCACGCCUGUAAUCCCAGCAUUUUGGGAGACUGAGGUGGGCGGAACACCUGAGGCUAGGAGUUCGAGACUAGCCUGACCAACAUGGUGAAACCCCAUCAGUAUGAAAAAUACAAAGGUUAGCCAGGCGUGGUGGUGCACACCUGUAGUCCCAGCUACUCAGGAGGCUGAGGCAAGAGAAUCGCUUGAACCCAGGAGGUGGAGGUUGCAGUGCACCAAGAUCGCGCCACUGUACUCCAUCCAGGGCAACAGAGCAAGACUCCAAAAAAAACAAAACAAAACAAAAAACAAAAAACAAAAAAAAAAGAAGAAGAAGAAGAAAGAAAGAAAAGCAACAAGGGAGAAAUGUCAAGAGAGUGCUAGAAGGAAGUGAAGGCAAAUGUGGGAGAUAAGAAUUAAUUCUUUGUUUCUCUUUUCUCUCUGAGAAUGUUAGAUCUCUGAUCUAAUUCUCCACUGCUUCCUGCUCUUUGUAUCUGUUUUUAUUAUUCUCUCCCAUUAAACCAUAAGCAACUUGAGGGCAGACAAUCAGUUUUACUCCUUUUAUAUCCAC
This 1160-nucleotide long non-coding RNA is filed under the name Pan troglodytes (chimpanzee). RNAcentral describes it as "lincRNA". Lineage: Eukaryota; Metazoa; Chordata; Mammalia; Primates; Hominidae. The record is from RNAcentral.